Molecule: long non-coding RNA, 1238 nt
Filed under: Homarus americanus (American lobster)
Lineage: Eukaryota; Metazoa; Arthropoda; Malacostraca; Decapoda; Nephropidae
Description: uncharacterized LOC121867226
Source: RNAcentral
UAUUCCUAGUCAUUACGACGAUAAUGACGAUCACCAUCAUCAUCACGAUGCAUCGUGUGUCGGGAUGCAACCACCCGACGCUCAGUACCAUAUUGCUAGUCACUUACAUGAGCCUUUAAUUAGGAAUAUAGCGUGUGUAAACACAACACUUCGUUUCGUAUGGCAGCACAAACGUUUCCCACGCGCGCUUGCCAAAUGCAUUAUUUCACAUAAUUAGAAAGACGGUUUAGAGAGAUAUUUAGUUGUUAUUUUAUACCGGCACAAUAAUAUAUUGAAAAAUAUCUUCUUUUUUUUCAAAUUGAACUUUAGUAUCUGUUCUAAACAAAUUACAGACAAUUUUUUCAUCUGUGUACUUGGCACCAAUGUUUGCGCAGGUGUUAUCAAACAUGGAGAGGAGAGAACGUUCUGCAGCCCUGUCAGUAACCCUGCACAUAGCACCUUUGCGCCUUAUCGAGCAAAGGCCAGUCGUCGAGGACAGAUCUACUAGUACUGUAACACAAUAAAUGACAGCAAAAGAAAGGCCUAGGAUGAAAUUACUGCCUCAUUAAACGCCAGCAACCAAGAUCAACUCCCUCUUACAGCCAAGCACCUCAAGAGGAGCUCCAACAUAAAAAGGAAACUAAAACCAGAGAUAUAGAAGAGCGGGUGGUGGUCCUCCAGAAAAACUAUCAUUAGCUUCAGAAGAAAUCGCCACCCAGUGCUCGUGUCAUGCGGAAGACUUCUGCAAGUGUACCUGAACUUCCUCACUCCCAUAAUCCUCUUGUUUUGCCUGUUCCAACACCAGGGCUAUCAACUGUGUCUUCUGCACCAUCUACUUCUGUUUUUCGACUUCUAAUUUCACCCUCUGUUCCUGCCUCACCAAUAUAAAUUGUACACAAUGAAAAGAGAGCAUGAGGAGGAACUGAAAGUGAAGGCCAUAAUAUCAGCACAUACACUCAAAGAAAGAUAAAGUGAAACUGUAAUUAGAGUGAUUGAAAAGACGCUUGAAAAAAUUAAUAAAUCUUUUGAAUUGUUAGAUACAUGUUUAAGGAAAGCAUCAACUGCAUAUGAUGCCAUGGCUAAAACUUAUGAAUGAUGGUUGAGUAAUAACAUACAGUCAUAUGCAAUGUUUAUGAUUUUACUAUAUACAGGGGUACUGUGAUAUAUCGUAAAGUGGCAUCUAGAUUAUAAAUUUAUUUUCUUAUGUCUUACACCUUAAAAUAAUUUUAUUUAAAGGAAAUAAAUCUACAUUUCUUUAU